Molecule: ribosomal RNA, 632 nt
Filed under: Panagrolaimus sp. N8
Lineage: Eukaryota; Metazoa; Nematoda; Chromadorea; Rhabditida; Panagrolaimidae
Description: SSU rRNA
Rfam family: Eukaryotic small subunit ribosomal RNA
Source: RNAcentral
UUCACGAAACCGCGUAUGGCUCAUUAUAACAGCUAUAAUUUACUUGAUUUUGACAUAAAUCCUACAUGGAUAACUGUGGUAAUUCUGGAGCUAAUACAUGCAUAAAAGUUGAAACUUAUGGUUUCAAUGCGUAUAUUAGUUGAAAACCAAGCAUCUUCGGAUGUUUUGUGUUGAAACUGAAUAUAUCUGCUGAUCGUAUGGUCUUGUACCGACGACAUGUCAUUCAAGUGUCUGAUCUAUCAACUUUCUAUAUAAGUAUAUAGUACUUAUAUGGUUUUGACGGAUAACGGAGUAUUAGGGUACGACUCCGGAGAAAAUGCCUGAGAAACGGCGUUUACAUCCAAGGAAGGCAGCAGGCGCGAAAAUUACCCACUCUCAGUUCGAGGAGGUAGUGACGAGAAAUGACAAGAUCUAUUCCUUCGGGGAUGGAUCAUUGGAAUGGUUUGAUUUUAAAACCAUUAAAGAGUAUCAAUGAGAGGGCAAGUCUGGUGCCAGCAGCCGCGGUAAUUCCAGCUCUCAUACUGCAUUGAAUUGUUGUUGCGGUUAAAAAGCUCGUAGUUGGAUCUGUACACGAUAGGGUGGUUCGUCCUUUGGAUGGUAACUACUACUAAGUGUUUUUUAUAAGAUUUUGU